UACGAAGGGUGCAAGCGUUACUCGGAAUUACUGGGCGUAAAGCGUGCGUAGGCGGUUUGUUAAGUCUGUUGUGAAAGCCCCGGGCUCAACCUGGGAAUGGCCAUGGAAACUGGCGAACUGGAGUGCGGCAGAGGGGGGUGGAAUUCCGCGUGUAGCAGUGAAAUGCGUAGAGAUGCGGAGGAACACCGAUGGCGAAGGCAGCCCCCUGGGCUAGCACUGACGCUCAGGCACGAAAGCGUGGGGAGCAAACAGG
This 253-nucleotide ribosomal RNA is filed under the name uncultured bacterium. Its description in RNAcentral is "partial 16S ribosomal RNA". It matches the Rfam family "Bacterial small subunit ribosomal RNA", at positions 524 to 776 of the family's 1533-position model. The record is from RNAcentral.